GAGUAUUUUGGAGAGUUUUUCGCAGCUCUGAACCAGCAGGUCACUGGUUGGAAGCUGGAGAAGGUUCUCGAACCACUUGGAGCUUAUUUGGUGAGCUUGGAAGCUGGUUCGGAAGGUAUUCUAACCUGAGCGGGAGCUCGACCGACCUUUGGGUCAUCCUUGGUUGGCUUUGGGAAGCCUUUAGAGACUUAAUUGGAGCAGCAUUGGGGCUUCGUUGAGCCGUUUGUGGGACUUCUUGUGGAUAAUUGGAGGA
This is a long non-coding RNA of Ananas comosus (pineapple), 253 nucleotides long. RefSeq lists it as uncharacterized. Lineage: Eukaryota; Viridiplantae; Streptophyta; Magnoliopsida; Poales; Bromeliaceae. The record is from RefSeq and is a predicted model, not a curated record. The transcript has 4 exons.